RNAcentral lists this long non-coding RNA (285 nucleotides) under Heterocephalus glaber (naked mole-rat). Its description in RNAcentral is "lncRNA (ENSHGLG00100041687.1)". The record is from RNAcentral. Lineage: Eukaryota; Metazoa; Chordata; Mammalia; Rodentia; Bathyergidae.
GGGGGCGCUUCCCAGCUGUGGAACGCAGCACAGGAGCGCCAGGGGGCCACAGGAGGAGCAGCCUAGCCGACCACCUCCUCAGCUGCCGUGGAAACCGCAGAGCGGGGAUCGUGACCUGGAAGUGCUCAAUAAUAAUGAUUUUAAGACACAUUUUAAAUUCACUCGGAGCAAGUCAAAGUCCUCAAGACCUAGACCAGAUGAAGCUUUGCCACUUUCCCCGGUGUUCCCUGCCUCAUUCUCUUCAUCAACUUGUUCUAAAGCCCCAUGAGUUGAAAGGUUAUGUGG